AAACCAACCGGGAUUGCCUUAGUAACGGCGAGUGAAGCGGCAAAAGCUCAAAUUUGAAAUCUGGCACCUUCGGUGUCCGAGUUGUAAUUUGAAGAAGCUACUUUGGGGCUAGUCCUUGUCUAUGUUCCUUGGAACAGGACGUCAUGGAGGGUGAGAAUCCCGUAUGGCGAGGAGUCUAGUCCUAUGUAAAGUGCUUUCGACGAGUCGAGUUGUUUGGGAAUGCAGCUCUAAGUGGGUGGUAAAUUCCAUCUAAAGCUAAAUAUUGGCGAGAGACCGAUAGCGAACAAGUACAGUGAUGGAAAGAUGAAAAGAACUUUGAAAAGAGAGUGAAAAAGUACGUGAAAUUGUUGAAAGGGAAGGGCAUUUGAUCAGACAUGGUGUUUUGCGACCCUCGCUCCUUGUGGGUGGGGAUCUCGCAGCUCACUGGGCCAACAUCAGUUUUGGCGGUAGGAUAAAUCUUUGGGAACGUGGCUUGUCUUCGGAGAAGC
Molecule: ribosomal RNA, 488 nt
Filed under: Lachancea thermotolerans
Lineage: Eukaryota; Fungi; Ascomycota; Saccharomycetes; Saccharomycetales; Saccharomycetaceae
Description: partial large subunit ribosomal RNA
Rfam family: Eukaryotic large subunit ribosomal RNA
Source: RNAcentral